GCUGUGGAACUCCUACGGGAGGCAGCAGUAGGGAAUAUUGGGCAAUGGACGAGAGUCUGACCCAGCCAUGCCGCGUGCAGGAAGAAGGCGUUCUGCGUUGUAAACUGCUUUUAUCUGGGAAGAAGAGGCCCAUGCGUGGGACAUUGCCGGUACCAGAUGAAUAAGCACCGGCUAACUCCGUGCCAGCAGCCGCGGUAAUACGGAGGGUGCAAGCGUUGUCCGGAUUUAUUGGGUUUAAAGGGUGCGUAAGCGGCUACUUAAGUCAGCGGUGAAAGACUCCGGCUCAACCGGAGCAGUGCCAUUGAUACUGGAUAGCUUGAGUGUUGGAGGGGUACAUGGAAUUGAUGGUGUAGCGGUGAAAUGCAUAGAUACCAUCAGGAACACCGAUAGCGAAGGCAUUGUACUGGCCAACAACUGACGCUGAGGCACGAAAGCAUGGGGAGCGAACAGGAUUAGAAACCCUUGUAGUCCUACCACGU
This 479-nucleotide ribosomal RNA is filed under the name uncultured bacterium. RNAcentral describes it as "bacterial SSU rRNA". It matches the Rfam family "Bacterial small subunit ribosomal RNA", at positions 327 to 804 of the family's 1533-position model. The record is from RNAcentral.